RNAcentral lists this ribosomal RNA (497 nucleotides) under uncultured bacterium. Its description in RNAcentral is "partial 16S ribosomal RNA". It matches the Rfam family "Bacterial small subunit ribosomal RNA", at positions 28 to 507 of the family's 1533-position model. The record is from RNAcentral.
GAUGAACGCUGGCGGCGUGCCUAAUACAUGCAAGUCGAGCGAACAGACGAGGAGCUUGCCCCUCUGACGUUAGCGGCGGACGGGUGAGUAACACGUGGAUAACCUACCUAUAAGACUGGGAUAACUUCGGGAAACCGGAGCUAAUACCGGAUAAUAUAUUGAACCGCAUGGUUCAAUAGUGAAAGACGGUUUUGCUGUCACUUAUAGAUGGAUCCGCGCCGCAUUAGCUAGUUGGUAAGGUAACGGCUUACCAAGGCAACGAUGCGUAGCCGACCUGAGAGGGUGAUCGGCCACACUGGAACUGAGACACGGUCCAGACUCCUACGGGAGGCAGCAGUAGGGAAUCUUCCGCAAAGGGCGAAAGCCUGACGGAGCAGCGCCGCGUGAGUGAUGAAGGUCUUCGGAUCGUAAAACUCUGUUAUUAGGGAAGAACAAAUGUGUAAGUAACUAUGCACGUCUUGACGGUACCUAAUCAGAAAGCCACGGCUAACUACGUG